AAUCAACGCUGGCGGCGUGCCUAACACAUGCAAGUCGAACGCGAAAGCCCCGAAAGGGGCAAGUAGAGUGGCAAACGGGUGAGUAACGCGUGGGUGACCUGCCUUCGAGCGGGGGAUAACGUUCCGAAAGGGACGCUAAUACCGCAUAACAUCCUGCCUUUGAAGAGGUGGAGAUCAAAGCUGGGGAUCGCAAGACCCGGCACUUGAAGAGGGGCCCGCGUCUGAUUAGCUAGNGGUGAGGUAAUGGCUCACCAAGGCUUCGAUCAGUAUCCGGCCUGAGAGGGCGGACGGACACACUGGGACUGAGACACGGCCCAGACUCCUACGGGAGGCAGCAGUGGGGAAUUGUUCGCAAUGGGCGCAAGCCUGACGACGCAACGCCGCGUGGGGGGAAGAAGGCUUUCGGGUUGUAAACCCCUUUCAGGAAGGACGAAGCCACUCGGGUUAAUAGCCCCAGAGGGUGACGGUACUUCCAGAAGAAGCCCGGCUAACUACGUGCCAGCAGCCGCAGUAAC
This 515-nucleotide ribosomal RNA is filed under the name uncultured bacterium. RNAcentral describes it as "bacterial SSU rRNA". It matches the Rfam family "Bacterial small subunit ribosomal RNA", at positions 29 to 524 of the family's 1533-position model. The record is from RNAcentral.